ACCGGCGCACGGGUGAGUAACACGUAUGCAACCUGCCUGCCACAGCCGGAUAAUCGGGAGAAAUUCCGUCUAAUACGGCAUAAUGCAUCGACGGGACAUCCUGUUGGUGCCAAAGGUUGAUUCCGGUGGCGGAUGGGCAUGCGUCGCAUUAGUUAGUUGGCGGUGUAACGGACCACCAAGACGACGAUGCGUAGGGGUUCUGAGAGGAAGGUCCCCCACACUGGAACUGAGACACGGUCCAGACUCCUACGGGAGGCAGCAGUGAGGAAUAUUGGUCAAUGGGCGGAAGCCUGAACCAGCCAAGUCGCGUGAGGGAAUAAGGCCCUACGGGUCGUAAACCUCUUUUGCCGGGGAGCAAGGGCCGGGACGCGUCCCGGCCCGGAGAGUACCCGGAGAAAAAGCAUCGGCUAACUCCGUGCCAGCAGCCGCGGUAAUACGGAGGAUGCGAGCGUUAUCCGGAUUUAUUGGGUUUAAAGGGUGCGUAGGCGGGCUUUUAAGUCAGCGGUAAAAAUUCGGGGCUCAACCCCGUCCGGCCGUUGAAACUGGGGGCCUUGAGUGGGCGAGAAGAAGGCGGAAUGCGUGGUGUAGCGGUGAAAUGCAUAGAUAUCACGCAAAGCCCCGAUUGCGAAGGCAGCCUUCCGGCGCCCUACUGACGCUNANGCACGAAAGUGCGGGGAUCGAACAGGAUUAGAUACCCUGGUA
Molecule: ribosomal RNA, 702 nt
Filed under: uncultured bacterium
Lineage: Bacteria
Description: bacterial SSU rRNA
Rfam family: Bacterial small subunit ribosomal RNA
Source: RNAcentral